Long non-coding RNA from Mesocricetus auratus (golden hamster), 481 nucleotides. RefSeq lists it as uncharacterized. The record is from RefSeq and is a predicted model, not a curated record. NCBI's taxonomy places the organism in Eukaryota, Metazoa, Chordata, Mammalia, Rodentia, Cricetidae. The transcript is spliced from 2 exons.
UCUAAGGCCAACUGUUGGCUGGCUGUGUCACAAGGAGUCACAGAAGUCUGGACAAACUCCCAUGAGCCACAUAGAGUCAACUUUUAAAAUCCAAGCCUGCCUUACUGCCCAGGCGUUCUCUGUGAGAGCUUUACUACCCCAAAGACCAGGCUGAGAGCUUUGGGAAGUUAAUCCCCUCAGGAGAUCCUGUCUUACCUCCGAAGGUUUUGAAUCUCAAGAGGACAGCUGGAUGGACUCUCUGAGGUGCUGCUGCCUUUUCCAGUCUCGCAACUCCAUGAGGCAAUUUCUCAGAAGACCUGUGGAAACACCUCAGCCUGCCACACACCUCCCUCCACAUGACUGGGAGGAGGAGAGGAGGACGAGAUGAGUAAAGAGGAAGAGACUACUGACUAAGCCAUAGAUCUUGUCAGAGGUUUUCAGCAGAGACAUAAUAUUAGGGCUAUAUUUUUUCUUCUUAAAUUUAAUAAAAAAACAAAACUUU